This 87-nucleotide transfer RNA is filed under the name Candidatus Organicella extenuata. RNAcentral's name for it is "tRNA-Ser". It matches the Rfam family "tRNA". From Rfam's summary of the family: Transfer RNA (tRNA) molecules are approximately 80 nucleotides in length. The record is from RNAcentral. Lineage: Bacteria; Pseudomonadati; Verrucomicrobiota.
GGAGAGGUGGCAGAGUGGUUUAAUGCGUAGCAUUGGAAAUGCUAUUUUUUUUUAUAAAAAACAGGGGUUCAAAUCCCCUCCUCUCCU